UACAGAGGCUGCAAGCGUUACUCGGAUUCACUGGGCGUAAAGGGAGCGCAGGUGGGCAGGUGUGUCGGGCGUGAAAUCCCGGGGCUUAACUCCGGAAUGGCACUCGAAACUAUCUGUCUGGAGGAUUGGAGAGGCGGGUGGAAUUCCAGGUGUAGCGGUGAAAUGCGUAGAUAUCUGGAGGAACACCGACGGCGAAGGCAGCCCGCUGGACAAAUCCUGACACUCAGGCUCGAAAGUGUGGGGAGCAAAAGGG
RNAcentral lists this ribosomal RNA (253 nucleotides) under uncultured bacterium. RNAcentral describes it as "partial 16S ribosomal RNA". It matches the Rfam family "Bacterial small subunit ribosomal RNA", at positions 524 to 776 of the family's 1533-position model. The record is from RNAcentral.